UGCCCCCUUCCGGGGUUACCUGGCGGAAGCCUUUGCAGCCGUCUCUACGGUUGGUUCCCGCGACUCAAAACAAGGGGGACCGCAUGCAAGUCAGCGCGCGGCUGGCGACACUUUCGAACUGACGGGGACUCCCUAAAGCCUGUCCCACUAACCGAGCGCUGGAAACGGCCUCGGGGCUCGAGGGCAAUGCCUCGAGGAGUAACAGAGGACAUGGAUGCGUCGACCGCGCGGUCGACGCAAUGGGUGAUCCGCAGCGAAGCCCCUACGUCUUGUGGCCAAGAUAGGGGGAACGUUCACAGACUAAGUGGAAGUGGGUGGAGCAAGGCGCUUGCUCUGCUUAAGAUAUAGUCGGGCCUCAGGGGAAACCUUGGGGGGCACCACCGUUCCGUAGGUGAACCUGCGGAAGGAUCAUUA
Molecule: ribosomal RNA, 414 nt
Filed under: fungal sp.
Lineage: Eukaryota; Fungi
Description: partial 18S ribosomal RNA
Rfam family: Group I catalytic intron (bases 47-372)
About the family: Group I catalytic introns are large self-splicing ribozymes. They catalyse their own excision from mRNA, tRNA and rRNA precursors in a wide range of organisms.
Source: RNAcentral